CAGCCGUAAACUAUGCGCGUUAGGUGUGCUGGUGACCACGUGUCACCGGGGUGCCGAAGGGAAACCGUGAAACGUGCCGCCUGGGAAGUACGGUCGCAAGGCUGAAACUUAAAGGAAUUGGCGGGGGAGCACCGCAACGGGAGGAGCGUGCGGUUUAAUUGGAUUCAACACCGUAAAACUCACCAGGGAAGACUGUUACAUGAAAGCCGAGAUGAAGACUCUGCUAGAUUUUCAGAGAGGUGGUGCAUGGCGUCAGUGACU
Molecule: ribosomal RNA, 261 nt
Filed under: uncultured archaeon
Lineage: Archaea
Description: partial 16S ribosomal RNA
Rfam family: Archaeal small subunit ribosomal RNA
Source: RNAcentral